This 515-nucleotide ribosomal RNA is filed under the name uncultured bacterium. Its description in RNAcentral is "partial 16S ribosomal RNA". It matches the Rfam family "Bacterial small subunit ribosomal RNA", at positions 28 to 523 of the family's 1533-position model. The record is from RNAcentral.
GAUGAACGCUGGCGGCGUGCCUAAUACAUGCAAGUCGAGCGAAUGGAUUAAGAGCUUGCUCUUAUGAAGUUAGCGGCGGACGGGUGAGUAACACGUGGGUAACCUGCCCAUAAGACUGGGAUAACUCCGGGAAACCGGGGCUAAUACCGGAUAACAUUUUGAACCGCAUGGUUCGAAAUUGAAAGGCGGCUUCGGCUGUCACUUAUGGAUGGACCCGCGUCGCAUUAGCUAGUUGGUGAGGUAACGGCUCACCAAGGCAACGAUGCGUAGCCGGCCUGAGAGGGUGGUCGGCCACACUGGGACUGAGGCACGGCCCAGACUCCUACGGGAGGCAGCAGUAGGGAAUCUUCCGCAAUGGACGAAAGUCUGACGGAGCAACGCCGCGUGAGGGAUGAAGGCUUUCGGGUCGUAAAACUCUGUUGUUAGGGAAGAACAAGUGCUAGUUGAAUAAGCUGACACCUUGACGGUACCUAACCAGAAAGCCACGGCUAACUACGUGCCAGCCGCCGCGGUAA